GUGAGGAAUUUUCCGCAAUGGGCGAAAGCCUGACGGAGCAAUGCCGCGUGAAGGAUGAAGGUCUUAGGAUUGUAAAAUUCUUUCACCGGGGACGAUAAUGACGGUACCCGGAGAAGAAGCCCCGGCUAACUUCGUGCCAGCAGCCGCGGUAAUACGAAGGGGGCUAGCGUUGCUCGGAAUUACUGGGCGUAAAGGGCGCGUAGGCGGAUCGUUAAGUCAGGGGUGAAAUCCCAGAGCUCAACUCUGGAACUGCCCUUGAUACUGGCGAUCUUGAGUGUGAGAGAGGUAUGUGGAACUCCGAGUGUAGAGGUGAAAUUCGUAGAUAUUCGGAAGAACACCAGUGGCGAAGGCGACAUACUGGCUCAUUACUGACGCUGAGGCGCGAAAGCGUGGGGAGCAAACAGGAUUAGAUACCCUAGUAGUCC
This 425-nucleotide ribosomal RNA is filed under the name uncultured bacterium. RNAcentral describes it as "partial 16S ribosomal RNA". It matches the Rfam family "Bacterial small subunit ribosomal RNA", at positions 354 to 796 of the family's 1533-position model. The record is from RNAcentral.